GACGAACGCUGGCGGCGUGCUUAACACAUGCAAGUCGAACGGUAAGGCUCCAGCUUGCUGGGGUACACGAGUGGCGAACGGGUGAGUAACACGUGGGUGACCUGCCCUGCACUUCGGGAUAAGCCUGGGAAACUGGGUCUAAUACCGGAUAGGACCGCACCGUGAGGGUGUGGUGGAAAGUUUUUUCGGUGUGGGAUGGGCCCGCGGCCUAUCAGCUUGUUGGUGGGGUAAUGGCCUACCAAGGCGGCGACGGGUAGCCGGCCUGAGAGGGUGGACGGCCACAUUGGGACUGAGACACGGCCCAGACUCCUACGGGAGGCAGCAGUGGGGAAUAUUGCACAAUGGGCGGAAGCCUGAUGCAGCGACGCCGCGUGGGGGAUGACGGCCUUCGGGUUGUAAACUCCUUUCACCAUCGACGAAGGGUUUCUGACGGUAGAUGGAGAAGAAGCACCGGCUAACUACGUGCCAGCAGCCGCGGUAAUACGUAGGGUGCGAGCGUUGUCCGGAAUUACUGGGCGUAAAGAGCUCGUAGGUGGUUUGUCGCGUCGUCUGUGAAAUUCCGGGGCUUAACUCCGGGCGUGCAGGCGAUACGGGCAUAACUUGAGUACUGUAGGGGAGACUGGAAUUCCUGGUGUAGCGGUGAAAUGCGCAGAUAUCAGGAGGAACACCGGUGGCGAAGGCGGGUCUCUGGGCAGUAACUGACGCUGAGGAGCGAAAGCAUGGGGAGCGAACAGGAUUAGAUACCCUGGUAGUCCAUGCCGUAAACGGUGGGCGCUAGGUGUGGGUUUCCUUCCACGGGAUCCGUGCCGUAGCUAACGCAUUAAGCGCCCCGCCUGGGGAGUACGGCCGCAAGGCUAAAACUCAAAGGAAUUGACGGGGGCCCGCACAAGCGGCGGAGCAUGUGGAUUAAUUCGAUGCAACGCGAAGAACCUUACCUGGGCUUGACAUAUACAGGAUCGCGCCAGAGAUGGUGUUUCCCUUGUGGCUUGUAUACAGGUGGUGCAUGGUUGUCGUCAGCUCGUGUCGUGAGAUGUUGGGUUAAGUCCCGCAACGAGCGCAACCCUUGUCUUAUGUUGCCAGCACGUUGUGGUGGGGACUCGUAAGAAACUGCCGGGGUUAACUCGGAGGAAGGUGGGGAUGACGUCAAAUCAUCAUGCCCCUUAUGUCCAGGGCUUCACACAUGCUACAAUGGUCGGUACAGUGGGUUGCCAGUCCGUGAGGGCGAGCUAAUCCCGCAAAGCCGGUCUCAGUUCGGAUCGGGGUCUGCAACUCGACCCCGUGAAGUCGGAGUCGCUAGUAAUCGCAGAUCAGCAACGCUGCGGUGAAUACAAUCCCGGGCCU
Molecule: ribosomal RNA, 1341 nt
Filed under: uncultured bacterium
Lineage: Bacteria
Description: partial 16S ribosomal RNA
Rfam family: Bacterial small subunit ribosomal RNA
Source: RNAcentral